GUCCCCAUCGUCUAGAGGCCCAGGACACCGCCCUUUCACGGCGGCAACACGGGUUCGAAUCCCGUUGGGGACGCCA
RNAcentral lists this transfer RNA (76 nucleotides) under Acidobacteriota bacterium. RNAcentral describes it as "Acidobacteria bacterium tRNA-Glu". It matches the Rfam family "tRNA". Rfam says of the family: Transfer RNA (tRNA) molecules are approximately 80 nucleotides in length. Their secondary structure includes four short double-helical elements and three loops (D, anti-codon, and T loops). Further hydrogen bonds mediate the characteristic L-shaped molecular structure. tRNAs have two regions of fundamental functional importance: the anti-codon, which is responsible for specific mRNA codon recognition, and the 3' end, to which the tRNAs corresponding amino acid is attached (by aminoacyl-tRNA synthetases). tRNAs cope with the degeneracy of the genetic code in two manners: having more than one tRNA (with a specific anti-codon) for a particular amino acid; and 'wobble' base-pairing, i.e. permitting non-standard base-pairing at the 3rd anti-codon position. RNAcentral also lists the same sequence under 5 other names. Lineage: Bacteria; Pseudomonadati; Acidobacteriota. The record is from RNAcentral.